UAGGGAAUCUUCCACAAUGGACGCAAGUCUGAUGGAGCAACGCCGCGUGAGUGAAGAAGGUUUUCGGAUCGUAAAGCUCUGUUGUUGGUGAAGAAGGAUAGAGGUAGUAACUGGCCUUUAUUUGACGGUAAUCAACCAGAAAGUCACGGCUAACUACGUGCCAGCAGCCGCGGUAAUACGUAGGUGGCAAGCGUUGUCCGGAUUUCUUGGGCGUAAAGCGAGCGCAGGCGGAAGAAUAAGUCUGAUGUGAAAGCCCUCGGCUUAACCGAGGAACUGCAUCGGAAACUGUUUUUCUUGAGUGCAGAAGAGGAGAGUGGAAUUCCAUGUGUAGCGGUGGAAUGCGUAGAUAUAUGGAAGAACACCAGUGGCGAAGGCGACUCUCUGGUCUGCAACUGACGCUGAGGCUCGAAAGCAUGGGUAGCGAACAGG
RNAcentral lists this ribosomal RNA (429 nucleotides) under Bacillota bacterium. Its description in RNAcentral is "Firmicutes bacterium partial 16S ribosomal RNA". It matches the Rfam family "Bacterial small subunit ribosomal RNA", at positions 355 to 776 of the family's 1533-position model. The record is from RNAcentral. Lineage: Bacteria; Bacillati; Bacillota.